This 507-nucleotide small RNA is filed under the name Pongo abelii (Sumatran orangutan). Its description in RNAcentral is "retained intron". Lineage: Eukaryota; Metazoa; Chordata; Mammalia; Primates; Hominidae. The record is from RNAcentral.
GUGGCGAGUGCGGGCCGAAAGCUAGGUACAGAUUGCACGUGGAGGGCCGCCCGAAGGGCUGUCUCGGGCCUUAACCCGCAUUCUGUACCAUGGGGCGCAAGUUGGACCCUACGAAGAAGGAGAAGCGGGGGCCAGGCCGAAAGGCCCGGAAGCAGAAGGGCGCCGAGACAGAACUCGUCAGAUUCUUGCCUGCGGGUAAGGAUUUGUUGUGGCCUCCUGAUCCCUCAGCUUUUGCAGUAUUCUGUAUCAUAACCUCUUCCCUGUUUUUAGUUUCUGUUCAUUUUCUAUUUAAGUGGAAUCUUCUCUGUAUGAGUUACUGGGAGGUACGAAUGAAACAGUCGUUUAGAUUGUAGGGAACUGUUCAGGUCGUAGAGAUGUGAAGACACGGACACAACUAUUCAUGCAAGGGAAGGUGUGAUUUAAAACAUUGUGAGUUCAGAGGAAGGGGGAUCCCAUGCAGAACUGUAAAAGUUUUUGUUAAGCUGGGUUUUGAAAAAUGGGUAACAU